RNAcentral lists this unclassified non-coding RNA (637 nucleotides) under Debaryomyces hansenii. RNAcentral's name for it is "sequence contains 18S rRNA gene, ITS1, 5.8S rRNA gene, ITS2, 28S rRNA gene". The stretch from base 241 to 394 matches the Rfam family "5.8S ribosomal RNA". Lineage: Eukaryota; Fungi; Ascomycota; Pichiomycetes; Serinales; Debaryomycetaceae. The record is from RNAcentral.
GUAACAAGGUUUCCGUAGGUGAACCUGCGGAAGGAUCAUUACAGUAUUCUUUUUGCCAGCGCUUAAUUGCGCGGCGAAAAAACCUUACACACAGUGUUUUUUGUUAUUACAAGAACUUUUGCUUUGGUCUGGACUAGAAAUAGUUUGGGCCAGAGGUUUACUGAACUAAACUUCAAUAUUUAUAUUGAAUUGUUAUUUAUUUAAUUGUCAAUUUGUUGAUUAAAUUCAAAAAAUCUUCAAAACUUUCAACAACGGAUCUCUUGGUUCUCGCAUCGAUGAAGAACGCAGCGAAAUGCGAUAAGUAAUAUGAAUUGCAGAUUUUCGUGAAUCAUCGAAUCUUUGAACGCACAUUGCGCCCUCUGGUAUUCCAGAGGGCAUGCCUGUUUGAGCGUCAUUUCUCUCUCAAACCUUCGGGUUUGGUAUUGAGUGAUACUCUUAGUUGAACUAGGCGUUUGCUUGAAAUGUAUUGGCAUGAGUGGUACUGGAUAGUGCUAUAUGACUUUCAAUGUAUUAGGUUUAUCCAACUCGUUGAAUAGUUUAAUGGUAUAUUUCUCGGUAUUCUAGGCUCGGCCUUACAAUAUAACAAACAAGUUUGACCUCAAAUCAGGUAGGAUUACCCGCUGAACUUAAGCAUAUC